AUUGAACGCUGGCGGCAUGCUUUACACAUGCAAGUCGAACGGCAGCACGGGUGCUUGCACCUGGUGGCGAGUGGCGGACGGGUGAGUAAUACAUCGGAACGUGUCCAGAAGAGGGGGAUAACGCAUCGAAAGAUGUGCUAAUACCGCAUAUGCUCUGAGGAGGAAAGUAGGGGAUCGAAAGACCUUACGCUUUUGGAACGGCCGAUGUCUGAUUAGCUAGUUGGUGGGGUAAGGGCCUACCAAGGCUACGAUGGGUAGCUGGUCUGAGAGGAUGAUCAGCCACACUGGAACUGAGACACGGUCCAGACUCCUACGGGAGGCAGCAGUGGGGAAUAUUGCACAAUGGGCGCAAGCCUGAUGCAGCAAUGCCGCGUGAGUGAAGAAGGCCUUAGGGUCGUAAAGCUCUUUCAAACGGAAAGAAGGAUCUAAUGGCUAAUAUCCAUUGGAUUUGACGGUACCGUAAUAAGAAGCACCGGCUAAC
RNAcentral lists this ribosomal RNA (481 nucleotides) under uncultured bacterium. Its description in RNAcentral is "bacterial SSU rRNA". It matches the Rfam family "Bacterial small subunit ribosomal RNA", at positions 30 to 501 of the family's 1533-position model. The record is from RNAcentral.